RNAcentral lists this ribosomal RNA (253 nucleotides) under uncultured prokaryote. Its description in RNAcentral is "partial 16S ribosomal RNA". It matches the Rfam family "Bacterial small subunit ribosomal RNA", at positions 524 to 776 of the family's 1533-position model. The record is from RNAcentral.
UACGUAGGUGGCAAGCGUUGUUCGGAAUUAUUGGGCGUAAAGGGCGCGUAGGCGGUUGGUUAAGUCAGCUGUGAAAGCCCGGGGCUCAACCCCGGAGGGUCGGCUGAUACUGAUUGACUAGAGUACGGAAGAGGUAGCUGGAAUUCCCGGUGUAGCGGUGAAAUGCAUAGAUAUCGUCCAGAACACCGAUAGUGAAGACAGCUUACCAGAGUGCAACUGACGCUGAGGCACGAAAGUGUGGGGAUCAAACAGG